RNAcentral lists this non-coding RNA (45 nucleotides) under Schistosoma mansoni. Lineage: Eukaryota; Metazoa; Platyhelminthes; Trematoda; Strigeidida; Schistosomatidae. The record is from RNAcentral.
GUCCAGCUGAUGAGUCUCAAAUCGAACGAAACGCACAUCCUGGAU